Molecule: long non-coding RNA, 1234 nt
Organism: Zootermopsis nevadensis
Lineage: Eukaryota; Metazoa; Arthropoda; Insecta; Blattodea; Termopsidae
Source: RefSeq, a predicted model, not a curated record
CUGCUUUGGAUUCUCUAUGUACUAGCAGCGGAAAAAAAAGACAUGCAUUCGAUACUUGAAAGGUCUUCAAUAUAGUCUGUAUUGAUGUUAAAUUUACAUACGUUUAGGAGGAAAUUGCCCCUUUGUGGCAAAAAUUACUUGCGUUUCCGAGAAAUGUUCAGUCUCGUUCCAGCAAAACGACUCGGAUGAACUUGUCACUCGUGAAAAUUAUGGGCUUCUCGAAGGAAAAUGCUGCCUCCAUAUGAAGGAUAUGGGUGCAUAGUUGGUAAUUGUGCUUCCCUGAUAAUGUCACAUUAGACAAUAGAAUAAAUGUUAAGUACUUAAUAUAGUUAUACAAAAAGGAGUAAGAGAAGAAUGGGGAAGAAACUCGUUCGGUAAUUUCACUGUGUGUGAUAGAAGUAAAGGAGGUUGAGCUCCCAAAACACCUCUGAAGGGGUAAAUGCAGAAUUCGAUGGGUAAUCGUGCAAAACCGUCACAUAUGCAAGUGAGAUGGCAGAGUAAUAAGAAAGAUCGGUCAGUACAGUGACCGGCUACGGAGUUUGAUUUCCGGCACAGAGCGGGUAUGGCGGUCGGAGGGUGAAACUAAACACUUAUAUUAUGGUGCUGAAAAAGCUCUCUUGCCGUCUGACGAACCUCCCCAGAAGAAAAUGCCAUAUGACAUUAUGGAAUGGAAAUAAGCAAAGUAAAGUAGUUUUAAAGUAUCCAUUUUCAACAUUACUGUGUCCUCAUGGCAAAUCAUGCUGAACAAAGUUUGGGGAUAAUAUAUUCAAUGUUUUUUUUCCCAAUGUCAGCAGAGAAUUCUGAAAGCAGUCGCUAUCAGGAUGAUACUAAUAUCACCAGCAAAAGUAUUAGCUUAGAUGAAGAAUUUGUGGUUGGAGGAAUAUAAUUGAUAUUUACUAUUCUGUUUGAGAACAAUGACAUCGGAAAGUAGGCAUGUGAAAAUGUGUAUUUGUUGCAGUUGAAAACCUAACCUAUAAAUAUUACACGCCAUAUUUUUGUGCAUGUCAAAAGGUGCGAAGAUGAAAAUGAAGCAUAACUCAAACUCCAGUGUAAGACUAAUCUUGAGACUUGCAGAGUGAGGAAGUGAGGUGAAGGAGAAAAGAUAACUUCUGCCUUUAACGCUAAGGACUUACUGCAUUCCUUGCAAGUCUCAAGAUUACAGUCGCGCACUAUAGUUCUGUCAACCUUCAGGUAGUGAAAAUAAAAACUGUAAAAAGUCACAUGCAAAACCAGA